Molecule: long non-coding RNA, 783 nt
Filed under: Gallus gallus (chicken)
Lineage: Eukaryota; Metazoa; Chordata; Aves; Galliformes; Phasianidae
Description: long non-coding RNA NONGGAT011910
Source: RNAcentral
GAAGAUUCAUAUCUCUUCAAGCUGGAAACUGUUUCCUUUUCAUCUUUGAAGUUGGAAAUUAUUUCACACAUUUUGCAACAUGAAGUCUUUAGAACGCUUAAACCUAAAGAUGUAGAAUCAUUUCAGACAUUUUAAGACACUUCAGAGUUAUAGGAUUUGUCUCAGAGAUGCUGUUGCUCAGGGAAGCAAGACAGUCCUGCACACUUCUUCCCCACUUCCUCCGUUUGAGGUUCUAAUAUUAAGAUGUGGAACUAAAUUCAUUCCCAGCACCCAUUAAGGAGAAAAUAAGUGUCCCAAAACUGGUUUGACCUGCUGCAUUCCAUCAUAAGGAUCACGCAAUGAAUGUGACAAUGCAAUAGCUGAAAUAAAGACUACGUCUGUAGUGGUGCAGAUAAGUGGCGAAGUCUUUCAUUUAAUGAUAAGACACGUGUUUGUUUUCACGAUUGCUUUUCCAUUGAGUUUCCACAGUCCUCUGUAUGAACAGAGAAAGAGCAAGGAAGAAAUAAGUGAAGCUGCAAAAUAGACAUCCAGAUAACACAGACAAAAGCAAGAGCUUCAAGGUAACCUCUCUACAAAGGAGCUUCUGACUCUUCCAGCGGCUUCUGCUAGUGCAUCUGGGACCUUGACUUGGGUAUUCCAGGAGUGGACUUUCAGAUUGCACACACUAUUAAUAUUCACUGCUCCAGAGUGUUUUCCUGUCUCCCACUAAGCAUUUUACAUAACAUUCAGCCACACAAUCUACCCAAGACCAGAUUUUUUCCAGGUAGUAUCAGAAGUAACAAC